CGCGUAGGCGGUCUCUUAAGUCAGAUGUGAAAGCCCGGGGCUUAACCUCGGAAGUACAUUUGAAACUAAGGGACUUGAGUAUGGGAGAGGGAAGUGGAAUUCCUGGUGUAGCGGUGAAAUGCGUAGAUAUCAGGAGGAACACCGGUGGCGAAGGCGACUUCCUGGACCAAUACUGACGCUGAGGCGCGAAGGCGUGGGGAGCAAACAGGAUUAGAUACCCUGGUAGUCC
RNAcentral lists this ribosomal RNA (229 nucleotides) under uncultured bacterium. RNAcentral describes it as "partial 16S ribosomal RNA". It matches the Rfam family "Bacterial small subunit ribosomal RNA", at positions 568 to 796 of the family's 1533-position model. The record is from RNAcentral.